UGGCCUUGCCUUUCCAUUAGGUCUUCAGGACCAAUAUCAGCAGCAAGUGUCAUGGUGAAGCAGGCAGCGGAAGUGCUAAUAGCGUGCUUCCCCAGUUUUGUCCAGGAUUCACCAGAGAUAGGUCUGAUCCAAAGAAUUUAGAUGCAAACCUAGAUUUCAAUGCACUUCUUGGAAAGACGGGGAUGUUGGAAUCCAAACUUUUUGUUUGUGCCCAUCUCUAAUCCAAAAUAUAAUGAUAAAGAUGCAGCAAGGAAGUUGGAAUCCUGCACAAGGCGCAGAAUCUCCUCUUUAGGCAGAGUAAUUCAUGAGGUCUGUGAGGUGUUUGGCAAGGAUGCCUGGGGACCAGAGUGUGGACAAGAGAUUAUUGGAAUGUAAGAAAGCCAUCAAUGCUCUGGUAUUAUCUCAUCAAUUAAAGAAAUAAAAUAAAUGAAUAGAAGAACAGUAUGAACAUCUUUAUUUCAAACCUGAAGUGUCUGCGUGUGAUUGUCUAUUGUAAGCUGGAGUGCUAAUAAAUGCAAGUAGAAGCUAAAAUACAUGUAUAGUGGUGCUGUUUAAAAUAAUCAUUGCUUGUGUGUGGGAUGUCUUG
Long non-coding RNA from Malaclemys terrapin pileata, 586 nucleotides. RefSeq lists it as uncharacterized. Lineage: Eukaryota; Metazoa; Chordata; Testudines; Emydidae. The record is from RefSeq and is a predicted model, not a curated record. The transcript is spliced from 3 exons.